RNAcentral lists this long non-coding RNA (340 nucleotides) under Pan troglodytes (chimpanzee). RNAcentral's name for it is "long non-coding RNA NONPTRT003409". Lineage: Eukaryota; Metazoa; Chordata; Mammalia; Primates; Hominidae. The record is from RNAcentral.
AUUCACUCACGCUUGAGGGUGGGGACCCUUUAUAGGCUCUUUGUGACGCUUCCCCAGGCACACCCAGACGACUAAGCUGCAGUGAAAAACAUGUCCCAGUUCAUCGGUGAACAGGGAGUAGAAUAUGGACAGUAUUGAAUAAUGCCAGAUACUAAAGGAAGAAAACGUGCGAGAAACCCUCUUGUUUAUACAGGAUAGUAACAUUUUCUUAGCCCCAUCUUCGUAUGGUGCCGUACACCUGAAAUGAAACUAAAUAUGUCUUUAAUUUGAAGUCAACGAUUAUGUUACAAAAUAGAAAGUCGAGUCGCUUAAAAAUCAAAUGCCAAGGUCACACAGCAGG